Molecule: ribosomal RNA, 2904 nt
Filed under: Escherichia coli
Lineage: Bacteria; Pseudomonadati; Pseudomonadota; Gammaproteobacteria; Enterobacterales; Enterobacteriaceae
Description: 23S ribosomal RNA
Rfam family: Bacterial large subunit ribosomal RNA
Source: RNAcentral
GGUUAAGCGACUAAGCGUACACGGUGGAUGCCCUGGCAGUCAGAGGCGAUGAAGGACGUGCUAAUCUGCGAUAAGCGUCGGUAAGGUGAUAUGAACCGUUAUAACCGGCGAUUUCCGAAUGGGGAAACCCAGUGUGUUUCGACACACUAUCAUUAACUGAAUCCAUAGGUUAAUGAGGCGAACCGGGGGAACUGAAACAUCUAAGUACCCCGAGGAAAAGAAAUCAACCGAGAUUCCCCCAGUAGCGGCGAGCGAACGGGGAGCAGCCCAGAGCCUGAAUCAGUGUGUGUGUUAGUGGAAGCGUCUGGAAAGGCGCGCGAUACAGGGUGACAGCCCCGUACACAAAAAUGCACAUGCUGUGAGCUCGAUGAGUAGGGCGGGACACGUGGUAUCCUGUCUGAAUAUGGGGGGACCAUCCUCCAAGGCUAAAUACUCCUGACUGACCGAUAGUGAACCAGUACCGUGAGGGAAAGGCGAAAAGAACCCCGGCGAGGGGAGUGAAAAAGAACCUGAAACCGUGUACGUACAAGCAGUGGGAGCACGCUUAGGCGUGUGACUGCGUACCUUUUGUAUAAUGGGUCAGCGACUUAUAUUCUGUAGCAAGGUUAACCGAAUAGGGGAGCCGAAGGGAAACCGAGUCUUAACUGGGCGUUAAGUUGCAGGGUAUAGACCCGAAACCCGGUGAUCUAGCCAUGGGCAGGUUGAAGGUUGGGUAACACUAACUGGAGGACCGAACCGACUAAUGUUGAAAAAUUAGCGGAUGACUUGUGGCUGGGGGUGAAAGGCCAAUCAAACCGGGAGAUAGCUGGUUCUCCCCGAAAGCUAUUUAGGUAGCGCCUCGUGAAUUCAUCUCCGGGGGUAGAGCACUGUUUCGGCAAGGGGGUCAUCCCGACUUACCAACCCGAUGCAAACUGCGAAUACCGGAGAAUGUUAUCACGGGAGACACACGGCGGGUGCUAACGUCCGUCGUGAAGAGGGAAACAACCCAGACCGCCAGCUAAGGUCCCAAAGUCAUGGUUAAGUGGGAAACGAUGUGGGAAGGCCCAGACAGCCAGGAUGUUGGCUUAGAAGCAGCCAUCAUUUAAAGAAAGCGUAAUAGCUCACUGGUCGAGUCGGCCUGCGCGGAAGAUGUAACGGGGCUAAACCAUGCACCGAAGCUGCGGCAGCGACACUAUGUGUUGUUGGGUAGGGGAGCGUUCUGUAAGCCUGUGAAGGUGUGCUGUGAGGCAUGCUGGAGGUAUCAGAAGUGCGAAUGCUGACAUAAGUAACGAUAAAGCGGGUGAAAAGCCCGCUCGCCGGAAGACCAAGGGUUCCUGUCCAACGUUAAUCGGGGCAGGGUGAGUCGACCCCUAAGGCGAGGCCGAAAGGCGUAGUCGAUGGGAAACAGGUUAAUAUUCCUGUACUUGGUGUUACUGCGAAGGGGGGACGGAGAAGGCUAUGUUGGCCGGGCGACGGUUGUCCCGGUUUAAGCGUGUAGGCUGGUUUUCCAGGCAAAUCCGGAAAAUCAAGGCUGAGGCGUGAUGACGAGGCACUACGGUGCUGAAGCAACAAAUGCCCUGCUUCCAGGAAAAGCCUCUAAGCAUCAGGUAACAUCAAAUCGUACCCCAAACCGACACAGGUGGUCAGGUAGAGAAUACCAAGGCGCUUGAGAGAACUCGGGUGAAGGAACUAGGCAAAAUGGUGCCGUAACUUCGGGAGAAGGCACGCUGAUAUGUAGGUGAAGUCCCUCGCGGAUGGAGCUGAAAUCAGUCGAAGAUACCAGCUGGCUGCAACUGUUUAUUAAAAACACAGCACUGUGCAAACACGAAAGUGGACGUAUACGGUGUGACGCCUGCCCGGUGCCGGAAGGUUAAUUGAUGGGGUUAGCCGCAAGGCGAAGCUCUUGAUCGAAGCCCCGGUAAACGGCGGCCGUAACUAUAACGGUCCUAAGGUAGCGAAAUUCCUUGUCGGGUAAGUUCCGACCUGCACGAAUGGCGUAAUGAUGGCCAGGCUGUCUCCACCCGAGACUCAGUGAAAUUGAACUCGCUGUGAAGAUGCAGUGUACCCGCGGCAAGACGGAAAGACCCCGUGAACCUUUACUAUAGCUUGACACUGAACAUUGAGCCUUGAUGUGUAGGAUAGGUGGGAGGCUUAGAAGUGUGGACGCCAGUCUGCAUGGAGCCGACCUUGAAAUACCACCCUUUAAUGUUUGAUGUUCUAACGUUGACCCGUAAUCCGGGUUGCGGACAGUGUCUGGUGGGUAGUUUGACUGGGGCGGUCUCCUCCUAAAGAGUAACGGAGGAGCACGAAGGUUGGCUAAUCCUGGUCGGACAUCAGGAGGUUAGUGCAAUGGCAUAAGCCAGCUUGACUGCGAGCGUGACGGCGCGAGCAGGUGCGAAAGCAGGUCAUAGUGAUCCGGUGGUUCUGAAUGGAAGGGCCAUCGCUCAACGGAUAAAAGGUACUCCGGGGAUAACAGGCUGAUACCGCCCAAGAGUUCAUAUCGACGGCGGUGUUUGGCACCUCGAUGUCGGCUCAUCACAUCCUGGGGCUGAAGUAGGUCCCAAGGGUAUGGCUGUUCGCCAUUUAAAGUGGUACGCGAGCUGGGUUUAGAACGUCGUGAGACAGUUCGGUCCCUAUCUGCCGUGGGCGCUGGAGAACUGAGGGGGGCUGCUCCUAGUACGAGAGGACCGGAGUGGACGCAUCACUGGUGUUCGGGUUGUCAUGCCAAUGGCACUGCCCGGUAGCUAAAUGCGGAAGAGAUAAGUGCUGAAAGCAUCUAAGCACGAAACUUGCCCGAGAUGAGGUUUUCCUGAAUCCUUUAAAGUCCCGAAGGAACGUUGAAGACCACGACGGUGAUAGGCCGGGGGUGGAAGGGGAGCGAUGCGGUUGGCUAACCGGGACUUAUGAACCGUGAGGCUUAACCUU